RNAcentral lists this long non-coding RNA (1317 nucleotides) under Capra hircus (goat). RNAcentral's name for it is "lncRNA (ENSCHIG00010011358.1)". Lineage: Eukaryota; Metazoa; Chordata; Mammalia; Artiodactyla; Bovidae. The record is from RNAcentral.
AUGGAGGGGAAGGUGCAUCUCCACUGCAUCGCGGCAAGUCUUCCAGACCUGUCUGCAGCUCUUCCUGUAACCAAGAGGCCUUUUCCUGUGUUUAAACUCACCACCAAUGGCUAUCCUACCAAAGGAUCUCAAGGUGCUUGGAGAGAGCCUGUCAGUAGAAGAAUAGACCUAUACGACCACUCUGGAGGAAGAUUGUGAAAAAAUGAGCCCUACUGAACAAUGGAAGUACUCAUCUGAGAAAAAGAGAACGAAGUAUUGUUCCUGUUCUCUUUCUUAAGUCAUUCGAAACACUGUCCCUGCGAGUUCUUUAAGUUCCCUGCAAUCUGUACACAAGAAGGGAGAAAGAGAGGGAGAAAGACAGAGAGACAAGGGAUCAGGUAAACCUCGGGGGCGGCUGCAGCCACUCAGACUCAGGAGCUGGUAAGUUACCCACGCAAUCCUUUCUACUUCCAUUUCAGUGUCCUUGCGAUGGAUGUUGCUGUGGGCAUCUUCCACAGAAAAUGCCUUACUGGGUGUAAUCCUUAAUCAAAGGGUGUGACUGAAGGAUGGCCCAGAAUUGAAGCUUGUAUGUCCUUUUUUUUUUUGUUGAGAGAGACUACUGAUGUUCUGCAGAGUUGAGCCUGGCAGAACUGGACAUAGAAUUGCUCUAGGCUAAGAAGGACAUUGUGUUAAAUCUGAAUUUGGGCACAGAUAAGCUGGUGGGUUAACCAAGAGCCACUGGAGUGCCGUGUCUCACUGAGAAUUUGCUCUUCCUCAGUGCUGUGUCCUGGGAGCCUUCUCAGGGUGUCUGUUAAGAACUGUGGUUUGCUCUGGGGAUUUUGUUACCCAUUGUCUUGAUGGAGGUGCCUGCUCCUGUUCUUUCCUUUUCAUUCAACAUCUCCCGCCUCAAAGAGGACUGUUAAUUUGUGACUGUUAUUCUGCCUCACUGAGGCAGGAGGAAGAAAAAGAAGAGAAUGUCACUUUGAUUUGUACUGUAAGGGGGGGGUGGGGUAUGCUUAUGUGUUCAGGCUCCACAUGUGGGUUGAGUGUAAAUUUAUUAUCCACUGUCAAUUGAAGAUGUCAUCUGCCACACAAAAGAGGGCAAAGAUUUAGGGGCAAGCAGCUGUAAUUUUGGAAAACAACAUACCAAUAGGAUAGGAAGGUUGAGAUCAAUCACUUGCGUCAGCAGGAGUGAAAAACCCAGCAAAACACUGAAGAAUGUUUAUCCAGUGCCUGGUUUUUUAAGCAUCAAAUAGAAUACAGCAAACCAGUCAAGACUAUACACGCAAUUAAUUUUUAAAAGUCUAUCUUGCUUCAUUUAGAUUCAUCAGGAUGUAU